AGUGAACGCUGGCGGUAGGCCUAACACAUGCAAGUCGAACGGCAGCACAGUAAGAGCUUGCUCUUACGGGUGGCGAGUGGCGGACGGGUGAGGAAUACAUCGGAAUCUACUUUUUCGUGGGGGAUAACGUAGGGAAACUUACGCUAAUACCGCAUACGACCUACGGGUGAAAGCAGGGGAUCUUCGGACUCGGCGGGUGUGGAUGAGCCGGUGGCGGAUUAGCUAGUUGGUGGGGUAGUGGCCCACCAAGGCUUUGAUGGGUAGCUGGCCUGAGAGGGUGGCCGGCCACAUUGGGACUGAGAUACGGCCCAGACUCCUACGGGAGGCAGCAGUGGGGAGUAUUGCACAAUGGGCGGAAGCCUGAUGCAGCAACGCCGCGUGCGGGAUGACGGCCUUCGGGUUGUAAACCGCUUUCGCCUGUGACGAAGCGUGAGUGACGGUAAUGGGUAAAGAAGCACCGGCUAACUACGUG
Molecule: ribosomal RNA, 472 nt
Filed under: uncultured bacterium
Lineage: Bacteria
Description: partial 16S ribosomal RNA
Rfam family: Bacterial small subunit ribosomal RNA
Source: RNAcentral